Molecule: ribosomal RNA, 1338 nt
Filed under: uncultured bacterium
Lineage: Bacteria
Description: bacterial SSU rRNA
Rfam family: Bacterial small subunit ribosomal RNA
Source: RNAcentral
GACGAACGCUGGCGGCGCGCCUAACACAUGCAAGUCGAACGAGCGAGAGAGAGCUUGCUUUCUCGAGCGAGUGGCGAACGGGUGAGUAACGCGUGAGGAACCUGCCUCAAAGAGGGGGACAACAGUUGGAAACGACUGCUAAUACCGCAUAAGCCCACGGCUCGGCAUCGAGCAGAGGGAAAAGGAGCAAUCCACUUUGAGAUGGCCUCGCGUCCGAUUAGCUAGUUGGUGAGGUAACGGCCCACCAAGGCGACGAUCGGUAGCCGGACUGAGAGGUUGAACGGCCACAUUGGGACUGAGACACGGCCCAGACUCCUACGGGAGGCAGCAGUGGGGAAUAUUGCACAAUGGGGGAAACCCUGAUGCAGCGACGCCGCGUGGAGGAAGAAGGUCUUCGGAUUGUAAACUCCUGUUGUUGGGGAAGAUAAUGACGGUACCCAACAAGGAAGUGACGGCUAACUACGUGCCAGCAGCCGCGGUAAAACGUAGGUCACAAGCGUUGUCCGGAAUUACUGGGUGUAAAGGGAGCGCAGGCGGGAAGACAAGUUGGAAGUGAAAUCUAUGGGCUCAACCCAUAAACUGCUUUCAAAACUGUUUUUCUUGAGUAGUGCAGAGGUAGGCGGAAUUCCCGGUGUAGCGGUGGAAUGCGUAGAUAUCGGGAGGAACACCAGUGGCGAAGGCGGCCUACUGGGCACCAACUGACGCUGAGGCUCGAAAGUGUGGGUAGCAAACAGGAUUAGAUACCCUGGUAGUCCACGCCGUAAACGAUGAUUACUAGGUGUUGGAGGAUUGACCCCUUCAGUGCCGCAGCUAACACAAUAAGUAAUCCACCUGGGGAGUACGACCGCAAGGUUGAAACUCAAAGGAAUUGACGGGGGCCCGCACAAGCAGUGGAGUAUGUGGUUUAAUUCGACGCAACGCGAAGAACCUUACCAAGUCUUGACAUCCCUUGACGAUGCUGGAAACAGUAUUUCUCUUCGGAGCAAGGAGACAGGUGGUGCAUGGUUGUCGUCAGCUCGUGUCGUGAGAUGUUGGGUUAAGUCCCGCAACGAGCGCAACCCUUAUGGUCAGUUACUACGCAAGAGGACUCUGGCCAGACUGCCGUUGACAAAACGGAGGAAGGUGGGGAGGACGUCAAAUCAUCAUGCCCUUUAUGACUUGGGCUACACACGUACUACAAUGGCGUUAAACAAAGAGAAGCAAGACCGCGAGGUGGAGCAAAACUCAGAAACAACGUCCCAGUUCGGACUGCAGGCUGCAACUCGCCUGCACGAAGUCGGAAUUGCUAGUAAUCGUGGAUCAGCAUGCCACGGUGAAUACGUUCCCGGGCCUUGCACA